CUUUGCCUAGCGCGGCCGCGCGGCCUCCUCAGUACAAUUGGGCGCGGGCGCGCGACUUGCAGUGUCUGUAGUGUUUUUCCCAGACCUCAAUGUGAUAGCUUGACACUGUUCCUUCCCUUCUCUUCGUGGAUUUGUUUCUGUAUUACUCGGCAAUGAACCCUGGGGCCUGUUUGUAAGCAUAUUCUCCAUCUGCCCCAUCUGAG
Molecule: long non-coding RNA, 203 nt
Filed under: Panax ginseng (ginseng)
Lineage: Eukaryota; Viridiplantae; Streptophyta; Magnoliopsida; Apiales; Araliaceae
Description: long non-coding RNA (PGIN_LNC017981)
Source: RNAcentral